AUUAAUUAAUGGCAAAACAGAAGAUGAAGUCGGCAGAAGUUUAGAGAGAGUUUUACUUACAAUGAGGAUUACAACUUCAGAACCUAAGGAUGUGGCAUUUGUUGUUGAUGGUUGGGCUCUUGAAAUUGCACUUAAGCAUUAUCGAACAGCUUUUACUGAA
Long non-coding RNA from Humulus lupulus (European hop), 160 nucleotides. RefSeq lists it as uncharacterized. The transcript has 2 exons. The record is from RefSeq and is a predicted model, not a curated record. NCBI's taxonomy places the organism in Eukaryota, Viridiplantae, Streptophyta, Magnoliopsida, Rosales, Cannabaceae.